Molecule: ribosomal RNA, 262 nt
Filed under: uncultured bacterium
Lineage: Bacteria
Description: partial 16S ribosomal RNA
Rfam family: Bacterial small subunit ribosomal RNA
Source: RNAcentral
ACUGUCCUACGGGACGCAGCAGUGAGGAAUAUUGGUCAAUGGCCGCAGGGCUGAACCAGCCAAGUCGCGUGAGGGAUGACGGUCCUAUGGAUUGUAAACUUCUUUUGUCGGGGAGCAAAAGUCGCCACGUGUGGCGUUCCGAGAGUACCCGAAGAAAAAGCAUCGGCUAACUCCGUGCCAGCAGCCGCGGUAAUACGGAGGAUGCGAGCGUUAUCCGGAUUUAUUGGGUUUAAAGGGAGCGCAGGCGGAAGAUCAAGUCAGC